GGGCGGGCUGGGGAAGGCCGCGGGCCUCGACGCUCCGGGACCCCCUGCAACCGCUCCAAACGAAAAGCCCCGGUUCUACGAGCCGCCGCCGCCGCCCUGAGAAAGAGCCCGCCCAGGCCGAACGCCCACGUGACGCUAGCCCCCCCUCACUCCGGUCUCCGCCAGGCUGCUGGGGAUUGUAGUUCUUCGGGCCCUGAGGCUCCGCUCUCCGGCCGCAGCUGUGCGGAGGGACUACAAAGCCCAGGAUGCAUCGCGGGCCCUCCGCGGCCCCUGAGUCGCCCGAGAUCGCCGCAGAGUGGUCCCAGCGAGAGGAGGGCGGGGCCUAAGUCUCGCCAGCGAGGAGGCGGCCAGUGGUGGCCGAGGCGGGCGGGCUGGGGAAGUCGGGGGCUCCCGCCUGGCGGGGCGGCGGAAAGCCUGUCUUCAAGACCAUUCCCGGCAGAGUGAGUGCAGGAGCUGGAAAGAACAUCUAAAGGGGCCAAGAGACUGUCUUCCUGUCUCAUAUUUAUUGUCUACAAAAUGCAAUAAAUCCAGCCCAUCAUGCAAAGUGA
Lemur catta (Ring-tailed lemur) is the source of this 548-nucleotide long non-coding RNA. RefSeq lists it as uncharacterized. The record is from RefSeq and is a predicted model, not a curated record. The transcript has 2 exons. NCBI's taxonomy places the organism in Eukaryota, Metazoa, Chordata, Mammalia, Primates, Lemuridae.